RNAcentral lists this ribosomal RNA (497 nucleotides) under uncultured bacterium. Its description in RNAcentral is "partial 16S ribosomal RNA". It matches the Rfam family "Bacterial small subunit ribosomal RNA", at positions 28 to 507 of the family's 1533-position model. The record is from RNAcentral.
GAUGAACGCUGGCGGCGUGCCUAAUACAUGCAAGUCGAGCGAACAGACGAGGAGCUUGCUCCUCUGACGUUAGCGGCGGACGGGUGAGUAACACGUGGAUAACCUACCUAUAAGACUGGGAUAACUUCGGGAAACCGGAGCUAAUACCGGAUAAUAUAUUGAACCGCAUGGUUCAAUAGUGAAAGACGGUUUUGCUGUCACUUAUAGAUGGAUCCGCGCCGCAUUAGCUAGUCGGUAAGGUAACGGCUUACCAAGGCAACGAUGCGUAGCCGACCUGAGAGGGUGAUCGGACACACUGGAACUGAGACACGGUCCAGACUCCUACGGGAGGCAGCAGUAGGGAAUCUUCCGCAAUGGGCGAAAGCCUGACGGAGCAACGCCGCGUGAGUGAUGAAGGUCUUCGGAUCGUAAAACUCUGUUAUUAGGGAAGAACAAAUGUGUAAGUAACUAUGCACGUCUUGACGGUACCUAAUCAGAAAGCCACGGCUAACUACGUG